Molecule: microRNA, 23 nt
Filed under: Sarcophilus harrisii (Tasmanian devil)
Lineage: Eukaryota; Metazoa; Chordata; Mammalia; Dasyuromorphia; Dasyuridae
Description: Sha-Mir-15-P2d_3p* (star (passenger))
Source: RNAcentral
CCAGUAUUGAAAGUGCUGCUCCA